AUGUAUCCAGAGGGCUACACAUUCUUAAAAGAUGAUUUGGUGAAGCAAUGGGUGGCAGAAGGUCUGAUCUAUACAACAGAAGGGCAAGACAGUGAGAAAGUUGCAGAAAGUUAUGUCUACCAACUUAUUGGUAGAAGCUUCAUCCAGCCGAUAUGUGUCAACUACAACAAUGAGGUGCUGUCCUGUCAAGUGCAUGACAUGGUACAUGAUCUUAUUACACACAAGUCUGCAGAAGAGAAUUUCAUCAUGGCAAUAGACUACAGCUGUCAAAAGAAUGUGUCACUUUCUCACAAGGCCCGUCGACUCUCACUCGUCUUUGGGGACGCAAGGUAUGCCAAGACACCAGCAAACAUCAGAAAAUCGCAAGUUCGGUCAGUUAGAUUUUCUGGAUUGCUUGAGUCUAUGCCUUGUCUUACAGAGUUCAAACUUCUUCGUGUCCUAAACCUUCAACUAUCUGGUCAAGGCCGCCAUGAUGAUGAUAUAGCAGACCUCAUCGGGAUUUCAGAGAUGUUUCAACUGAGAUAUUUGAAGAUUGCAUGUGAUGUCUGCAUCAGACUGCUGAGCCAUGUU
Molecule: ribosomal RNA, 570 nt
Filed under: Triticum aestivum (bread wheat)
Lineage: Eukaryota; Viridiplantae; Streptophyta; Magnoliopsida; Poales; Poaceae
Description: partial small subunit ribosomal RNA
Source: RNAcentral